RNAcentral lists this transfer RNA (72 nucleotides) under Benthalbella linguidens (longfin pearleye). Its description in RNAcentral is "tRNA-Trp". It matches the Rfam family "tRNA". Rfam says of the family: Transfer RNA (tRNA) molecules are approximately 80 nucleotides in length. Their secondary structure includes four short double-helical elements and three loops (D, anti-codon, and T loops). The record is from RNAcentral. Lineage: Eukaryota; Metazoa; Chordata; Actinopteri; Aulopiformes; Scopelarchidae.
AGGGACUUAGGAUAGUAUUGAGACCAAAGGCCUUCAAAGCCCUAAGCGAGAGUGAAAGUCUCUCAGCCCCUA